UAGAAAAAAAAAAAAAAAAAGAAGACAUUUAAACUAGUGGCAACAGGCGCUAUUUUUUCUACAAUGCAUUGUGCUCACAGUAUUUUCAAGAAAUUGCCCUUUGAAUGUAGACACAACAAAAUUGCUACAUGUACUAAAUUCACAGUUUUCUCUACUUUGCCUUUUGUAUGUGUUGACAUGUGAAAAAACAGUAACUUAACAAGAAUAUCCUUUACACGGUAGAAAUUUGAAAU
Molecule: unclassified non-coding RNA, 233 nt
Filed under: Hevea brasiliensis (rubber tree)
Lineage: Eukaryota; Viridiplantae; Streptophyta; Magnoliopsida; Malpighiales; Euphorbiaceae
Source: RNAcentral